UUUGAGUUGAUAAAAUAGUGGUUAAGGUUUAGAUUUUGUAAUUAAACGAAACUAUAAUUCGGUUUGGGUUGAUAAAAUAAUGGUUAGGGUUUAGAUUUUAUAAAUAAACGAAUUAUAUUUUGGUUUGGGUUUAUUGAAGACUGAUUACGGUUUUUUUUUUUUCUGAUUUUAAUUUUGAUUUUUUCAUAUAACAUGCUAUUUUUUUUUGUAACAUGUCAUUUUUAUCAAAAA
RNAcentral lists this long non-coding RNA (231 nucleotides) under Capsella rubella. RNAcentral's name for it is "long non-coding RNA (CRUB_LNC002686)". The record is from RNAcentral. Lineage: Eukaryota; Viridiplantae; Streptophyta; Magnoliopsida; Brassicales; Brassicaceae.